Long non-coding RNA from Schistocerca piceifrons (Central American locust), 545 nucleotides. RefSeq lists it as uncharacterized. NCBI's taxonomy places the organism in Eukaryota, Metazoa, Arthropoda, Insecta, Orthoptera, Acrididae. The transcript has 4 exons. The record is from RefSeq and is a predicted model, not a curated record.
CAGCUGACGACAGUAGCGUCGGGUCGAAGCACUAAUGGUGCAGAACAUUCAUCUUCAAUGUUGAUUGGUGUAGAGAAAUUUACCAAAGAUACGGUCGGCCACCAAGCCCCACAUCGACGCUCCAGGGCCGCCUAUGCUGUCCAUCGUUGGGAAUAUUCUGGAGUUUCUCGACAUGCCGUUGAUCCUCUGUAAGAUGUUCGACCUCCACCAGCAGUACGGCGACUUGUUGAGAAGAUGGUAUUCUGGCCAUGGAUGUAGAGCAAGUUCCUGCUGCAGCUGACCUCCAAAGGACGUGGUCUGUUCAUGUUCGUCAAAAUUAUGCAGAACUUGGCCAUGCAGUGCAUCGCCAUAAGGUCGGCAGCCACAGAGGACGGACUUACCAAACCACACCAGUGCCUGAUGGAAGCUCUGGUCAAUCCAGGCGGGCAGACUCCAAUGCCACUCGACGAGAUUCAGGGCAAGAAUAGGAAUGGGUUGCUUAAACUGAUGGCUGCAAAAAAAUAAAAAUAUGAAAAUCAGAAUCAUCAAUUAAAAGUGAUAAAAAU